Molecule: ribosomal RNA, 430 nt
Filed under: uncultured bacterium
Lineage: Bacteria
Description: bacterial SSU rRNA
Rfam family: Bacterial small subunit ribosomal RNA
Source: RNAcentral
UGGGGAAUUGUUCGCAAUGGGCGCAAGCCUGACGACGCAACGCCGCGUGGAGGACGAAGAUCUUCGGGUCGUAAACUCCUGUCGAGCGGGACGAACACCUAUCGGGUGAAUAGCCCGGAAGGCUGACGGUACCGCUAAAGGAAGCCCCGGCUAACUCCGUGCCAGCAGCCGCGGUAAUACGGGGGGGGCAAGCGUUGUUCGGAAUUACUGGGCGUAAAGGGCUCGUAGGCGGCCAACUAAGUCAGACGUGAAAUCCCACGGCUCAACCGUGGAACUGCGUCUGAUACUGGAUGGCUUGAAUCCGGGAGAGGGAUGCGGAAUUCCAGGUGUAGCGGUGAAAUGCGUAGAUAUCUGGAGGAACACCGGUGGCGAAGGCGGCAUCCUGGACCGGCAUUGACGCUGAGGAGCGAAAGCCAGGGGAGCAAACGGG